Molecule: transfer RNA, 64 nt
Filed under: Pediacus taiwanensis
Lineage: Eukaryota; Metazoa; Arthropoda; Insecta; Coleoptera; Cucujidae
Description: tRNA-Trp
Source: RNAcentral
AAGGUUUUAAGUUAAAUUAAACUUCUAACCUUCAAAGUUAAAAAUAGAGAUAAUCUAAACCUUA